GUGCAGUGCACUUCUGGGAACAUUUCGGUGCACUGCUGCAGAGUGAGCGCUCCUUGCUUUCACGCUGCUCUCCGGGGGAAAAUCAUUCCACUACGUUGAGUCUUCCCGUCCGCUCUAUGAAGAUGAAGCAGGGGUCCCCUGUCUGUCACCUAUCUCUGUCCGUGUGUGUGUGUGUUUGUCUGGGCGUGGUGCUCCAGUCUCUCUCCUGCUGCCAAUCACUUGCACACCUGUGACUCAUCCACUAAUCAAGACCCUGCAGGAUAUCUACACCGGCUCUUCACUCCAGUCUUCACCAGAUCAUUCCAGUUCGCCAACGUUCAUUCCCUGCUGCUGAUCUCAGCCUGCCUGCUCCGUCCAGUUACUCGUCUGUUUUCCCUGACACCUGCCCAGCUCACUCUGCCUGUCUUAAUCUACUGUGAAACUGCGACCAAGAUUUCUAACUUGCAUCUCUGACUUUUUUUAUAAUCCCUUGUCCUUCUGUAAUGGGAUUACAGAACCUAACAGAACCCUGUUCAAAAAUCUGGCAGUUCAAUAAAGCGUUGAUUGAUAGUCUAUUUGGAGAGGGGAGAAAAAAAAAGGAACAAAUAGUCGAAUAUUUGUACUGAACAGCCAAAUCCAACUGACAAAAUUCUGUGUUGGGUACAGCCCUAAUUAAGUCUGUGUGAAACCCUGAGAAAACACUACAGUUAGUAGUCAGUAGCCAAUUGUGCCAGUUCACCACCCUAAAAUGUACAGCAGGACAUGUAGACAAAGACUAUUUUCUUGACUCCAUCUGCUGAUGGAGAUCAGCGAUAUGACUGAAAGCUACAGAAAAACUGCUAAAUGGACCUAUUUAGAUAGCUGCUGUUUCCGAGGUCAAGAAUGAAAUAAACUCAACCUUUAAGCCAUCAUGAAUGAGAAGUUGUUAAAGUGCUCAGAACAAGUUGAGGUGGAUCAGUCAACAGAUUAUUGUCAAAAGAUUGUUAAAUUUUUUUUCAAAAAGAAAAAUCUGAUAGAAAUCAGGUACAGACAACAAGCAGAGAGCAGCCUGAAGAUAAAUGUUAUGCUCUUUUUGAGAUAUAUUUUAGACCUAUUUUUUUUAUCUUAAGAAAUAAUCUACGAAGGCAGAUUCAAACUACUUGUCCUCUUUGAACAAGUCCUGUUAUAGUCACUGUAACUGGGCCAAAACAUAUGCCCUCUCACUUUUAGGGUGAAUGCACUUUGGAUAAAUGAAGUGGCUAACUUAACCACUGAUCUUAGCUCACUGCUGCUUUUCCUGUAGAUCUACUGCUGAUAUAAACAGCAUUGGCUGACCAGAAAUAACAGUGAGAGACAAUUAGGCUGAAAUCUGUUUAUUGCUAAGACUGCAAGUUAUAAAUGAUACAGUAAACGAAGAUGUUGAAGAGUCAUUCAAAACAUACCUUCAUAUAAUAAUAUUAACUUGAUUACAAUUUAAAAACAAGAAGGGGGCAAGUUAUUUAUCCUACAUGGAUGUCUGCAAGGAGCAACCCGAAACACCCCACAUGCACACUGGUGUUGCAGUACUGUCAACCUUCUUUAAACCUGUUUUUCAGAAGGUGUGACAGGAAGACCCAAGGCCCUGUAUUGCCGCCCACCUCAACACACAGCCCUAAUGGGACGCCUCUUACAGCGACCCACCCCUCACUCCCACUGCCCAUCUCUCACCCUCCUUCCCUCCACUGACAAGAAUGAAACUGACAAAAUAACAGCCCCCCAUCCCCAAACUGUCCAUCACUCUAAAGGCCAACACAGCACAUAGACUGCACUAUGGACCUGGUCCCCUUUCAAACUCUUCACCCAGCAGUACACUGUUCAUCACACCUGGAGACAGCACUGCCCCCCCCCCAAACUGUCCAUCACUGCCAUCCAGGUGAGAAGGUAAUUGGGGAGGUUCUGCCCGAAGGCAGUGGCCUCUGAAAGCAUCCAGAGUCCACAUGUCAGCUGCCAGUGUUUACGGCUGUACCUGUUCAACAUACUGUAUCCAUGGACAUUAUAAAAGCUUUUCUGGAGGACUGGUGAACUCCAUAGAUUUGCUUUAGUUUGCAUACCAGACCCACAUGUAAAAUUAAAUCAUGUACCACAGCGCUUCUUUCAACGUGACUGAGAGGAUUUGUGCAAAUCAAGUUUUUGUUCACUCUCUACACAUCAGACUUGGUUAACACAGUGUGUUAACCAGAGGUACAGUACUGUAUGCACACAAAGAUAUGGAUGCUGAUUGUUUUGUAAAUAGUAAAACAAUGUUGCGGUUUGUCUAUCAUUCCCAUUGUGCUUCAUGCUGAAGUGCCAAUCUAAUAAAAGCAAAAGGAGCUUAUUUAUUAUAUAUGAAACAUCACUCAGAAAUGUUACUGUAUAAAAUCAAUUUCAACAGGAAGACAAAACAUACAAGAUCUUGAAGAUCUGAGGAAUUAGCUAGUGGAAUCUCAGCUUGUUAGCUGUGUUACACGAUCCACUUAUUUAAACCUCUGUCGGAGUACUAACUACUCCACAAAAGAGGAAGGGUUAUAAAGCCGAUGUCUUUUGAAUAAACUGCGUGAACCAUUAGAGACAAAGUUAACAGCAAGCUUGCUAGCUGACAGUUAGGCUGCUGUGUCAGCUAACUGACUGUUAGCAAGCUUCUUGGCUCUCCCCUCCUUAAUAUGUGUUUAUUGAAUGAAUUGAUGUACAUUCCCGAGAACAGAAUGCCAGGGGAGAGUAAGCAGAACAGUACAGAGAAAAAAGAAAGAAGCUUGGGGAGCCAUUGUGACUGAUUAGCACAAGUACGUUCUGGUAUGGCUGGUGUAUUAGCAGUUAGCUCACCAGCUAUAGAAGUUCACCAACUAGCCCUGCAAGUAGUCCCUACGUCAUCAAGCUUGUAAAAUGAAAUAUUUUGCUAAGAUGUGAAGAUGAAUAUUGCUGUGCCAGUGCCCCUGAGACUGAGCCUAAAGAUUUUUCUCAGCUGUGAGUGAGAGAUUGAGACAUUGUCCAGGGGGGACAUUGUAAAAACCAUUUACAUCCUCCCAGUCUGGAUUUUCAGAUUGAAAACGUAGAAUGAGUUGGGCAGAGGAGUCUGGGCAGCCACAUUGAAAUGCCAUGCCCACUUGACUGCCUCAGACACAUUCAAGGACUUGUAGUUGGAGCUGAAGGAAGCAUGCAAAAAGAAUUACUGGCACAAGGCCUUAAAAUGAGCUCUGUGUGUGUGUGUGUGUGUGUGUGUUACCCAGACUUUUGCAGAGCAUAUCCCAGCAUUCAGGUGAGAUCACAAAAUUUCUAGACUCUCAUCGGCUGUUGGCUUGCUUGAGAAAAUUAGACAAAAAAGAAACAGGUUUGAUCCUUUCCGGGAAGAACAUCUAAAGAGCUAAAAGUAUAAAUAAAGAAAGAAGGCAAAACCUGAGGUUUUUAUUUCAUAUCUCCCCAAAAACUAACUGCAAUGAAUUUGUGGUAGUAAUGUGUUAAGGGGUUAAAGCUGAAAUCAUUCUCCCACUGUAAAAUAUUUAUUUAUGUGUGUUGUAUCACAAAUGUUUUUGCCCUUAUGAGAGAAUCCAAAUAAAACUCUACCGUGCCUUUAGAAGACACUUCAGCUGUCUCUCCAAAAAUGAUGUUUCUGUUCAGUUGAUAACCUUUCUGGUGAAUGGGUCAAAAAAAAAAGACUCAACUAUGACAUCAGGUCAAAGAUGAUUCAACUCCACUUUCUCUGAUUUAAUUUUUGAGUUGCGUUAUAAAACAACUGCAGCCAUAAAAGAGGUCCCUUUACAACACUGAAGUCCAUCUGUGCAGAUGUCUCCAGUGUGUUCUGUGUCAGAAGGCAUCUGACACCAGAGACCAAAAGCCAAAAACCAUAUUGCAGCAGCUGGUUGUAUGCUGUUCAUCACCAUUCUGCCUCGGGGACUUUUAAGUCAUUUUCCUCUCCGUCUAUUUUUAUAGUUGGUCUGAGGGAGAUUUGUUUAACUAAAUUAGAACUCUGUUUUAAUCCUUUUAAUACAGCACAUCCCAUGAAGACAUCUCUCAAAUCAGUACUAAUGUCCGACACUGCAGUGGCAUUUCUGCUACCAUCAUUAUUUCUUUUUAAUUAUUUGUUCUUAAUUUUCAAAGAGAACAGGCUGUCAGCCAUCAUGUCAUGUUUUAUUUCGAUGGUAGAAAUACAUACACACAGGGAUUAUUCUAGCCAGGAAUUAAUCCUCCAUUAACUGGACUGUGUUACAGUUCCUCUCCUGCGGCCCUGUUUCCUAAACACAGGAUACUUUGGUGAUGCAUGGAUGCCUGAUGCAUGUUGUGUUUAAUGGCCAUUAGCAGUACAAUGUGGAUAUAUAAAGAGCCUUAUUCAUUAUCACUGACUAAACCGCUGAAUUAUCUAAACUAGUGUCCCGUGAGCCGUUAUUGGAACAAUUAUGCUUGUCGACGCUUUUGAUUUGAUUCACGAGAGAUCAAGGUCGUGUUAAGCAAUCAAUUGAUUUGCUCUCCCUGUUUUAAUGGCAUGGUGUGUCAGUGAUGCCUGUAGGGGCUUGAUAGAGCUGCUUUCUAAAAGGAUUGCAUUGUGCUGUCUCUUAAAAUGAACUAAUUCAUUGAAAUCACUUGGCAUGAAGUGAGGUUGCAGCCAGGUCUAUGUGGUUUCCCAAAGACCAGACCAUCUUUAUAAACUUCAUUUGUAAUUUCUACAAUGAUUUUUCUUUGCCUUUAGAGAGCUCAGCUUUUACAUUCAAUCAUGAUGAUGUUUGGCUGGUAUAAUUUUUACCACAUUCACCAUCUCAGUUUAGCAUGCUAACAUUUGCUAAUUAGCACUAAACUUAAAGUACAGCUGAGGCUGUUGGGAAUGUCAUUAGUUUUGCAGGUAUUUGGUCAUAAACCAAAGUAUUGUACAAAUUAAAAUUUAUACUUAAUGAUGGACACAAGAGAGAAUCACCCAAUUUUUUACAAUUAAUUCUGAGGGGAACAUAAAUGUGUGUACCAAAUUUCAUGGCAAUCCAUCCAAUAGUCGUUAAAAUAUGUCAGUAACCGAAGUAAGAAGGACUCAUCCUCUGGGUACCAUGGAUGUCUGUAAAAGAUUUCAUGACAAUCCAUCUGAUAAUUGUUAAGAUAUGUCAGUGCCGACCAAAGUAGUGGACUAACAGACAGACUGACUGACAUUGCCAUCCCCAGAGCCACACAGCUAGCGUGGCUAAAAAGUCUCAGAUAUGUCAAAAUGACCUGUGUUUAAUGCAAGUCUGGCAAGUGUGGCAGACUGUUUGUGUGGAGGACCUGGUAAAAUACCACAAAGAUAGCAGUGCUGACCUAAGACCAAUUAUCUCAAGUCACAUUGAAAUAAUGGGACUUGACCUAU
Molecule: long non-coding RNA, 5293 nt
Organism: Siniperca chuatsi (mandarin fish)
Lineage: Eukaryota; Metazoa; Chordata; Actinopteri; Centrarchiformes; Sinipercidae
Exons: 3
Source: RefSeq, a predicted model, not a curated record